CCGUUUGAUGAAUUCAUAGUCAAACGAGGCGAACCGGGGAAACUGAAACAUCUCAGUACCCCGAGGAAAAGAAAUCAACCGAGAUUCCCCCAGUAGCGGCGAGCGAACGGGGAGCAGCCCAGAGUCAACAUCAAUAUUUACCGCAGGAGAAAGGUCUGGAAAGGCCGGCAAUAAAGGGUGAUAGCCCCGUAUCUGAAGCGGUAAGUGUUGUGAACUCGAAGAGUAGGGCGGGACACGUGUUAUCCUGUCUGAAUAUGGGGGGACCAUCCUCCAAGGCUAAAUACUCCUGACUGACCGAUAGUGAACCAGUACCGUGAGGGAAAGGCGAAAAGAACCCCGGCGAGGGGAGUGAAAUAGAACCUGAAACCGUGUACGUACAAGCAGUAGGAGCACCCGAAAAGGUGUGACUGCGUACCUUUUGUAUAAUGGGUCAGCGACUUAUAUUCUGUAGCAAGGUUAACCGCAUAGGGGAGCCGUAGGGAAACCGAGUCUUAACUGGGCGUUAAGUUGCAGGGUAUAGACCCGAAACCCGGUGAUCUAGCCAUGGGCAGGUUGAAGGUUGGGUAACACUAACUGGAGGACCA
Molecule: ribosomal RNA, 584 nt
Filed under: uncultured Arsenophonus sp.
Lineage: Bacteria; Pseudomonadati; Pseudomonadota; Gammaproteobacteria; Enterobacterales; Morganellaceae
Description: partial 23S ribosomal RNA
Rfam family: Bacterial large subunit ribosomal RNA
Source: RNAcentral